Molecule: ribosomal RNA, 119 nt
Filed under: Pteropus alecto (black flying fox)
Lineage: Eukaryota; Metazoa; Chordata; Mammalia; Chiroptera; Pteropodidae
Source: RNAcentral
AUCUACAGCCAUGCCACCCUGAACGUGUUCGAUCUCAUCUGAUCUCGGAAUCUAAGCAGGGUCGGGCCAGGUUACAACUUGGAUGGGAAACCACCUAGGAAGACCAGAUACUGUAAACA